GACGAACGCUGGCGGCGUGCUUAACACAUGCAAGUCGAACGGAAAGGCCUGCUUUCCCUUGUGGAUUGCGGGUACUCGAGUGGCGAACGGGUGAGUAACACGUGAGUGAUCUGCCCCCAACUUGGGUAUAAGCCUGGGAAACUGGGUCUAAUUCCCGAUAGGACUGCAGGGUGGUGCCUGUGGUGGAAAACGAUUUUCUAGUGGUUGGGGAUGAGCUCGCGGCCUAUCAGCUUGUUGGUGGGGUAAUGGCCUACCAAGGCGGCGACGGGUAGCCGGCCUGGGAGGGUGGACGGCCACAUUGGGACUGGGAUACGGGCCCGAACCCUACGGGAGGCAGCAGGGGGGAAUAUUGCACCAAGGGGGGAAGCCUGAUGCAGCGACGCCGCGGGGGGGAUGACGGCCUUCGGGUUGUAAACUCCUUUCGACCGCGAGGAAGCCACCUGGUUGGAAGGGUGGUGACGGUAGUGGUAGAAGAAGCACCGGCUAACUACGUG
RNAcentral lists this ribosomal RNA (494 nucleotides) under uncultured bacterium. Its description in RNAcentral is "partial 16S ribosomal RNA". It matches the Rfam family "Bacterial small subunit ribosomal RNA", at positions 28 to 507 of the family's 1533-position model. The record is from RNAcentral.